CACGUAGGGUCCGAGCGUUGUCCGGAAUUACUGGGCGUAAAGCGCGCGCAGGCGGUCGGGUUCGUCGCUGGUGAAAGCCCCACGCUCAACGUGGGAAGGUCCGGCGAGACAGCCCGACUGGAGGCAGGGAGAGGUCGGUGGAAUUCCGGGUGUAGUGGUGAAAUGCGUAGAGAUCCGGAGGAACACCAGAGGCGAAGGCGGCCGACUGGACCUGACCUGACGCUGAGGCGCGAAGGCGUGGGGAGCGAACGGG
This 253-nucleotide ribosomal RNA is filed under the name uncultured bacterium. RNAcentral's name for it is "partial 16S ribosomal RNA". It matches the Rfam family "Bacterial small subunit ribosomal RNA", at positions 524 to 776 of the family's 1533-position model. The record is from RNAcentral. RNAcentral also lists the same sequence under 1 other name.